AGCACUUCCGAGACCGUCGGGAUUGUGAUGUCGCCAUUCUGGCCGAGUAACGUCAAUCCAGCCAUAAUGCCCAGGAAGAAGCUAGGACGAGAAAAAAAGUAAAAAGUGUGCCUCAGGCAAGUUGACCAGAUUUCUGAGACAAAAUCGGGGGACGUUUUGGUUCAGAGGCGUAAAGACCUUCAAAACAUGGCGUGUUUUUUGUAAUUGAAAAACUAAAACGGGGACAUUGUGCCCUUACCAUUCAUAAAGCAGAUCAAGAACAACCAUAAAAUCAGCUGCAAAAAAUAGGUAGACACUUCGCCCAAACUAUGGCCUACUCCUUAUUCAUGGCAUACUAAAAUAGUGUAAAUAAUAUGACUACUAACCAGUGACUGAACGUAUUAGAUGGCACAAAGAGAGUGGUGCUGGCUGGUUGCUGGCGGGAAGGCAAGAAGGGAGUCAAGGAUGCGCAUUAUGACACUACUGACGAUGGUUUGGCUGGAAAUUUGGUUUUAUGUUCUUGGAAGGCGGGUGAAACGAGAUAGUGUAUCUGCUGAAGAGUCUGGAUGCGAAGACACUUUUUCUCGGGGAAUGGAUUUGAUCCAACCGGAAAUACCAGAUAAUAGAUGACAGCUUACAACGAACGUCAGCAAACCCACCAAUGAACGGACGACGGUAAUUAGGGAAAUGACAUGGACACAAUGCAAGGUUUCCAACAUACAGCUUAUCUUGUUUGUACUGGUACUGAUUUUUCAGGCAUUUUUCUCGUGUGGGACUAGUCCAAAACAAAGGGAAUUCAAUUUAGUCAUGGCUCAAUCAUUGAAAGAACCGAAGACCUAUUCCUUACAUCAAGUAACAUAAUUCUGGAAGUUGAUAUGCAAGCGAUUUUCUUGCCAGAAAACGAUGUCAUCAAUUUGAAAUUAGACUUAUCUCGAUUUGCUGAGUCACUGAAUCAACUGCACAGCUGCACAGAACUCGAGCGAUUAACAUCCGCUCACUCAGACCUUGGGUAUCGCUGAGUUGAUGUUUUUUGAUUUGCAAAAUAAGACGGCCGAAACAGAAUGCUUAGCACGCGACCUUCUUAAGUGGACCAUUCCACACACCAGAGUAGAAGGGCAUAACCCUUUUAUAUUUGCCGCACUUCAUCUGUUCGGUUCCGUAGCAAGCUUAGGCCUUGGAAUUUCUAAUCGUCUUAAAAUUAACGAUCAGAAUAAGAGAAUUGAAUUUUUACAGCACAAACAUGAAUCAAUUUUCUCUUAACUUCGUAAACAGUUAGAAUCAAUAAAUGAGCUUGUGACGUUAGUGAACGAACAUUUUAGUAAAUAAAUCAUAUCAAGGACGCGCAAUCUUUGCUAGUAACUUUAGCAUAUUACAAUACGAAGAUGGAUCAUAUACAUACUAAGAUUUCUCAUUUCAUUGAAAAAUCCAAAGAUUAUGUUGAAGCCAUAACCCUCGGAACUAAAGGAGUCCUGUUGCCGCACUUGUUACCUAUCAAAGACUUAACGUUAACCUUGGAGAAUGCACGUGACAAACUUGGUUACACUCCUUUGUUAGAAGCGCAGAUUGAGUUCUAUUAUAGCCUAAUCUCAGUCAGCGUAGAACAUUAUAGAAUCAUGAUUAAUAUCCCCUUUGAUCCUUCUGCUGCAUGGGAAUCCUAUAAAGUAGCUCCAUUUCCCACUUACAUGUAAAAUAGCUCAUUACCAGUAAUAUCAAAUCUGUCUGGGUACGUAUUAAUUUCCCCUAAGAAAGAAACUUUUACAGUUGUCAGAGACCUAGAAUCGUUCGCUAAUUGCUACACAGCCAUGGAUAAAAAGGUUUGCAUGGCUGAUUCCUUUGAAUUCCGCAAUGUGUCCGAGGCUUCGUGUGAGUUAUACCUAGCCUUUAAUGGAACUUUGCCCCAUACGCGAGAACACUGCUUGGAUCACCUCUACCCUUAUGACAAGUAUAAGUUCGUUCACAGGCUGAACAACAGAACCUGGCUGAGACUCUCCCUACAACUGUUUUGGGUCAACUGUCCGGAUGGAUCAGCUACAGAUUCUCAUCUGUUCAUCGCUUCCGACGGCUGCAGUGGAGCAACGGAAAAACUACACCAUCCACGAGAUAAGCAGAAUAAUCCAGGAGAGGUCCUACAUCACGAAUUUUAGCUGGGGCACUACCCACAUCGCGGCCCUCCCACUGCCCUACAAUAAGAAAGUAGCCAAGCAACUGAGGCGUUCAGCUACUAUGGAUCCAGUCCACCCCGCUUACGAUGCUAAUGAGGAUCUUUGAUACUAUUGCGGUACUAGCUACAGUUAUGGUCUCAGUGGCGGUUACCAUAGCCGUGAAUGUAUUCGUUUGGCGCAGGAUGAGAACAAGAAUUGCUCACCAACAGAACAUCAGAGACCGUCCAGACAAUCUCCCAUAUACCCUCAAGCCAUGGGACUUCCACAUUAUUUGAACCCGGCCAAUUCAUUGAUGCGAGGUGAUUUGUUUGGAAUUGUGAAGUGCGUGAAAAGUUGAACAGUAUAUUGAUUAGAUUGUGAAGUAGAGGACCUCAUUAAUGCAUUCCAUGUGUAAAAUUAUCAGUAUAUUAAUCUAUCAGUGCGCACCUACCUGAAGCAUACAUAAUUAAUCUAACAGCGCACACCUAUCUGAAGCAUAUAUAAUUAAUCUAACAGCACGCACCUAUCUGAAGAAUUUUAAUCAAUACAUAUAUAGGCCUUAUAUCUUAUAUUUUAUCUCUCACAAGGUACCAUUAAUUUGUAUCCUUAUAUUAAUACAUAUAAUCUUUGUGUGUCAUGUAACUACCAGAAAUGCACUAGUAUUUUGGUGGAGUGUUUACCUUCAUGACUUGCAUUUAUGUAAGUAUAUCAAUAUAGCAUAUAUAUAAAACCUUUUGGAUUUAAACCAAUUCGAGUGCAUAAGAUUUUUACCUAUAUAUCCUUACAAUUUUUUCUUAGAAUAUGUAUCAUUAUUAUUUACAUUAUAACCAUGCUUUAUUAUUUUAUUGAUUAAUAGUCAAUUAUUUACCGUUGAAUAUUCAUGAUUUUGUAUUAUCCAUAUCUGAAAUAGCACUCGCACACAUCCUGUGGAAAGGCAUUUUUCAACCUGACUGGCCUAAUAUACUUAAUUUUGUUAUCGUGACCGAGCAAUAUGUAAUAUUCAAAUUACAUGAUAAAAGUAAUGUAGCACAUUCCUUAGAAGAAAGGGCAUAACACUUAAUCAGUCAGGGGUCAACCCGGAAAGUAUGCCUAAAACCACAGUCACAGGAUGCGUGUGAAGGUUAGCUAAGCAUAAAUAGAAAACACGAACGUCAACCUCCUUGCAUGGGAACCUACUUUGGCUCUCAUGAGAACUUAAAUGAUGAGUUGUCUUAACCUGAAAAGAGGUGUUCGUUCAUACACACAUAUCUUUUGUUAGGUUUGCUAACCUAUCACUUUGUAAAUCAAUCUGUAAGAGAUCAAUUCCUCUUUCUCCUUCUCUAACGUCAGAAAUCAUUCAAAAAUUUGCCAUGUUGAUAUCAAAUACACCAACUUUUCUGUCUUGGGCCCAUCCAUUAAGCAGUUGGCGCCAUGAUUGAACUCACACACCACUUCUGUACCCCUGUAUUUGGCGUGAGCAUGUCUUCGUGGCUCUGCCUUCCCUCCUUGUCAUUCAGCUGUCAUCUUCUGACAGAGCAGGUGCUUCUUUUAAAUACUGUUGUUUGUUUCCUUUUUAUAUUUUUAUUAUUUUUUUUUGUCUCUUUGUUUUACAAUCUUAACUAGUUUAGGAACUUUUCAAUUAAGAAUGGUUGUUUUUAUAUGUUUUGAUUAUGUGAUAUGUAUUUUAACUCGUCUGUCCAAUUUAUUUCAGCCCUGAUGAUGUAACAAGCUUUAGUUACGAAACACGUUGGCAAAUAAAUGAAUAUUUUUCUGUCAA
Molecule: long non-coding RNA, 3876 nt
Organism: Macrobrachium nipponense
Lineage: Eukaryota; Metazoa; Arthropoda; Malacostraca; Decapoda; Palaemonidae
Exons: 5
Source: RefSeq, a predicted model, not a curated record